CCAAUAGCGUAUAUUAAAGUUGUUGCAGUUAAAAAGCUCGUAGUUGAAUUUCGGGAUUGACGUGAUGGUCAUGCCUUAAGGGGUAUGAACUGUCGCUGUUGAUUUCUCACCUUCUGGAGAAACUUGAUGUCCUUUAUUGGGUGUCUUGCGGAUCCAGGACCUUUACCUUGAAAAAAUUAGAGUGUUUAAAGCAGGCAUUUUUGCUCGAAUACAUUAGCAUGGAAUAAUAGAAUAGGACGGCAUGGUUCUAUUUUGUUGGUUUCUAGGAUCACCGUAAUGAUUAAUAGGGAUAGUUGGGGGCAUUAGUAUUCAAUUGUCAGAGGUGAAAUUCUUGGAUUUAUUGAAGACUAACUACUGCGAAAGCAUUUGCCAAGGAUGUUUUCAUUAAUCAAGAACGAAAGUUAGGGGAUCGAAGACGAUCAGAUACCGUCGUAGUUCUGACCAUAAACGAUGUCGACUAGCGAUCCGCGGCCGUUGUUCAUAUGACUUCGCGGGCAGCCUUCG
RNAcentral lists this unclassified non-coding RNA (504 nucleotides) under uncultured Entrophospora. RNAcentral describes it as "bacterial SSU rRNA". It matches the Rfam family "Eukaryotic small subunit ribosomal RNA", at positions 591 to 1092 of the family's 1831-position model. The record is from RNAcentral. Lineage: Eukaryota; Fungi; Glomeromycota; Glomeromycetes; Entrophosporales; Entrophosporaceae.